This 465-nucleotide ribosomal RNA is filed under the name uncultured bacterium. RNAcentral's name for it is "partial 16S ribosomal RNA". It matches the Rfam family "Bacterial small subunit ribosomal RNA", at positions 338 to 795 of the family's 1533-position model. The record is from RNAcentral.
CCUACGGGUGGCUGCAGUGGGGAAUAUUGCGCAAUGGGCGAAAGCCUGACGCAGCGACGCCGCGUGAGGGAUGAAGGUCUUCGGAUCGUAAACCUCUGUCAGCAGGGAAGAACGGUCACUGUGCUAAUCAGCAGUGAAUUGACGGUACCUGCAAAGGAAGCACCGGCUAACUCCGUGCCAGCAGCCGCGGUAAUACGGAGGGUGCGAGCGUUAAUCGGAAUUACUGGGCGUAAAGCGCUCGUAGGCGGUAUGUCAAGUCUAGGGUGAAAUCCCCGCGCUCAACGUGGGAACUGCGUUUGAAACUGGCAAACUGGAGUGUGUGAGAGGAUAGUGGAAUUCCAGGUGUAGGGGUGAAAUGCGUAGAUAUCUGGAGGAACAUCAGUGGCGAAGGCGACUAACUGGCACAUAACUGACGCUGAGGAGCGAAAGCGUGGGUAGCAAACAGGAUUAGAUACCCGGGUAGUC